RNAcentral lists this ribosomal RNA (457 nucleotides) under uncultured bacterium. RNAcentral describes it as "bacterial SSU rRNA". It matches the Rfam family "Bacterial small subunit ribosomal RNA", at positions 57 to 507 of the family's 1533-position model. The record is from RNAcentral.
GCAAGUCGAGGGGCAGCGUGGAGCAGCAAUGCUCUGACAGCGACCGGCGGAAGGGUGCGUAACACGUGAGCGACUUGCCCGUCACAGGGGGGAUAACCGGCGGAAACGGCGACUAAUACCCCAUACGAUGUGAUGCUGCAUGGCAUUGCAUUGAAAGAUUUAUCAGUAAAGGAUGGGGAUGCGUCCCAUUAGCUUGUUGGCGGGGUAACGGCCCACCAAGGCGACGAUCAGUAGGGGUUCUGAGAGGAAGGUCCCCCACAUUGGAACUGAGACACGGGUCCAAACUCCUACGGGAGGCAGCAGUGAGGAAUAUUGGUCAAUGGACGAGAGUCUGAACCAGCCAAGUAGCGUGCAGGAUGACGGCCCUAUGGGUUGUAAACUGCUUUUAUAAGGGAAUAAAGUGGGAGUCGUGACUCUUUUGCAUGUACCUUAUGAAUAAGGACCGGCUAAUUCCGUG